AUCUAUACAUGCAGUCGAGCGAAUCACUGGGAGCUUGCUCCUGGUGGUUAGCGGCGGACGGGUGAGUAACACGUGGGCAACCUGCCUGUAAGACUGGGAUAACACCGGGAAACCGGUGCUAAUACCGGAUAAUCCUUUUCCUCUCAUGAGGAAAAGCUGAAAGUCGGUUUCGGCUGACACUUACAGAUGGGCCCGCGGCGCAUUAGCUAGUUGGUGAGGUAACGGCUCACCAAGGCGACGAUGCGUAGCCGACCUGAGAGGGUGAUCGGCCACACUGGGACUGAGACACGGCCCAGACUCCUACGGGAGGCAGCAGUAGGGAAUCUUCCACAAUGGACGAAAGUCUGAUGGAGCAACGCCGCGUGAGCGAUGAAGGCCUUCGGGUCGUAAAGCUCUGUUGUUAGGGAAGAACAAGUACCGGAGUAACUGCCGGUACCUUGACGGUACCUAACCAGAAAGCCACGGCUAACUACGUGCCAGCAGCCGCGGUAAUACGUAGGUGGCAAGCGUUGUCCGGAAUUAUUGGGCGUAAAGCGCGCGCAGGCGGUCCUUUAAGUCUGAUGUGAAAGCCCACGGCUCAACCGUGGAGGGUCAUUGGAAACUGGGGGACUUGAGUGCAGAAGAGGAAAGCGGAAUUCCACGUGUAGCGGUGAAAUGCGUAGAGAUGUGGAGGAACACCAGUGGCGAAGGCGGCUUUCUGGUCUGUAACUGACGCUGAGGCGCGAAAGCGUGGGGAGCAAACAGGAUUAGAUACCCUGGUAGUCCACGCCGUAAACGAUGAGUGCUAAGUGUUAGAGGGUUUCCGCCCUUUAGUGCUGCAGCUAACGCAUUAAGCACUCCGCCUGGGGAGUACGGCCGCAAGGCUGAAACUCAAGGAAUUGACGGGGCCCGCACAAGCGGUGGGAGCAUGUGGUUUAAUUCGAAGCAACGCGAAGAACCUUACCAGGUCUUGACAUCCUCUGACACUCCUAGAGAUAGGACGUUCCCCUUCGGGGACAGAGUGACAGUGUGCAUGUUGUCGUCAG
This 1025-nucleotide ribosomal RNA is filed under the name Bacillus sp. AMF1194. RNAcentral's name for it is "bacterial SSU rRNA". It matches the Rfam family "Bacterial small subunit ribosomal RNA", at positions 47 to 1058 of the family's 1533-position model. Lineage: Bacteria; Bacillati; Bacillota; Bacilli; Caryophanales; Bacillaceae. The record is from RNAcentral.